This 646-nucleotide ribosomal RNA is filed under the name uncultured bacterium. RNAcentral describes it as "bacterial SSU rRNA". It matches the Rfam family "Bacterial small subunit ribosomal RNA", at positions 93 to 740 of the family's 1533-position model. The record is from RNAcentral.
GAGCGGCGAAAGGGAUAGUAACACGUAGGUACCUACCUUGGGGACGGGGAUAGCCGCGGGAAACUGCGAUUAAUACCCGAUGAUGUCAGCGAUGAAUAGUCGUUGUCCAAAGGUGUGAUUCCGCCCUUAGAUGGGCCUGCGUCCUAUUAGCUAGUUGGCGGGGUAACGGCCCACCAAGGCUUAGAUGGGUAGCGGGUGUGAGAGCACGACCCGCAUCACUGGGACUGAGACACUGCCCAGACACCUACGGGUGGCUGCAGUCGAGAAUCUUCGGCAAUGGGCGCAAGCCUGACCGAGCGACGCCGCGUGCGGGAUGAAGGCCCUCGGGUUGUAAACCGCUGUCGUAGGGGAGGAAGGCUCCGUGCAGAACGGGGUUUGACCUAUCCUAGGAGGAAGGACGGGCUAAGUUCGUGCCAGCAGCCGCGGUAAUACGAACCGUCCGAACGUUACUCGGAAUCACUGGGCUUAAAGGGUGCGUAGGCUGCGCGGAGGGUGGGAUGUGAAAUCCCCCGGCUCAACCGGGGAAUAGCGUCCCAAACCGCCGUGCUCGAGGGAGACAGAGGUGAGCGGAACUGAUGGUGGAGCGGUGAAAUGCGUUGAUAUCAUCAGGAACACCAGUGGCGAAGGCGGCUCACUGGGUCUUUCC